Non-coding RNA from Picea glauca (white spruce), 119 nucleotides. The record is from Rfam. Lineage: Eukaryota; Viridiplantae; Streptophyta; Pinopsida; Pinales; Pinaceae.
GGGUGUGAUCAUACCAGCGCUAAUGCACCAGAUCCCAUCAGAACUCCGCAAUUAAGCGGGCUUGGGCUAGAGUAGGACUGGGAUGGGUGACCUCCUGGGAAGUCGUAGUGUUGCACCCU